GGAUAAUGCAAUAGGAAUGAAGUGUGCCUCCAUUUUAUUUUAUGUUUUAAAUGAAAAUGCUGGCUAUAGCAUGGAAAAUGGCAUUUAAUGUCAUUUAUAUCACAUGCUGGGAUGCAAGAACGGUAUGUUAGCUUGUAAGGCAGUCUUUAUAGAUCCUAGACAGCACAAAAUAGCAUGACUACGAAUG
Molecule: non-coding RNA, 187 nt
Organism: Pseudonaja textilis
Lineage: Eukaryota; Metazoa; Chordata; Lepidosauria; Squamata; Elapidae
Source: RefSeq, a predicted model, not a curated record